This 748-nucleotide small RNA is filed under the name uncultured Cryptococcus. RNAcentral's name for it is "eukaryotic LSU rRNA". The stretch from base 483 to 748 matches the Rfam family "Eukaryotic large subunit ribosomal RNA", at positions 1 to 261 of the family's 3401-position model. The record is from RNAcentral. Lineage: Eukaryota; Fungi; Basidiomycota; Tremellomycetes.
AAGUCAUAACAAGGUUUCCGUAGGUGAACCUGCGGAAGGAUCAUUAAUAAUGCCCUCUGGCUUCGGUCAGCUGGGUUCAAUGUGUGUCAUCUCUUCGGAGAUGGCCAUCCACACACACCGUGAACUGUGACUUCGGUCAUCAAAAACUUUUAGUAAUGAAUGUAAAAAUCAUAACAAAAUAAAACUUUUAACAACGGAUCUCUUGGCUCUCGCAUCGAUGAAGAACGCAGCGAAAUGCGAUAAGUAAUGUGAAUUGCAGAAUUCAGUGAAUCAUCGAAUCUUUGAACGCACCUUGCGCCCUUUGGUAUUCCGAAGGGCAUGCCUGUUUGAGUGUCAUGAAACCUCACUCCACUUGGGUUUUUGCCUGAGUGGUAGUGUAUUGGGUGUUGCCUUGCCAAAGGCUCGCCUUAAAAGAAUAAGCACCUUGGAUGUAAUACGUUUCAUCCUUUCGGGUGGCUAAUAACCCCACAUAACUCAUGAUCUGGCCUCAAAUCAGGUAGGGCUACCCGCUGAACUUAAGCAUAUCAAUAAGCGGAGGAAAAGAAACUAACUAGGAUUCCCUUAGUAACGGCGAGUGAACCGGGAUGAGCUCAAAUUUGAAAUCUGGCGUCUUUCAGGCGUCCGAGUUGUAAUCUAUAGAGGCGUUUUCCGCGCCGGACCGCGUCCAAGUCUCUUGGAAUAGAGUAUCAAAGAGGGUGACAAUCCCGUACUUGACGCGACAACCGGUGCUCUGUGAUACGUUCUCAAC